UUAAAGAUAGUAUAAAUAUUACAUCCUACUGUUAAUUGGAAAAUGCUUUUACUCUUUAAG
This 60-nucleotide transfer RNA is filed under the name Riccardoella tokyoensis. RNAcentral describes it as "tRNA-Asn". Lineage: Eukaryota; Metazoa; Arthropoda; Arachnida; Trombidiformes; Ereynetidae. The record is from RNAcentral.